UUUUAAGUCAACGCACGUGUGUGUUCCCUAGGAUCGGGACCUUUCAUCAUGCAUACUUUUGUUAAGUAAUCGUAUCUUGUGGCUUUGAUUGAUCCACUUGUUCAUUUUUAAAAUAGAUGUUUUAUUUAUUUUCAUGAGCGCGUUUAUUAUCAACCAAGAACACUUGGUUCAGUGGUUGGUUACUUAGCCUGCAACCUCAAGGGCAGGGGUUCAACCCCUGAUGCCCCUCAUUUGGUUUUGUAUUUUUUUCCCCUCAUUUUCUUUUCUUCAUUUUAUUUAAUUUCACAACUUUUUCAUUUUUUUCCCUUUUUUUUUGUUUAUUUCUCUUAACCAAAUAUUUCAUUAAAUAUUUUCCAUCAAUAUAUUUUAUUUAUCCAUUAAUUUUUU
Molecule: long non-coding RNA, 387 nt
Filed under: Lathyrus oleraceus (garden pea)
Lineage: Eukaryota; Viridiplantae; Streptophyta; Magnoliopsida; Fabales; Fabaceae
Description: Pisum sativum (pea) long non-coding RNA (PSAT_LNC002189)
Source: RNAcentral